Long non-coding RNA from Scatophagus argus, 713 nucleotides. RefSeq lists it as uncharacterized. Lineage: Eukaryota; Metazoa; Chordata; Actinopteri; Scatophagidae. The record is from RefSeq and is a predicted model, not a curated record. The transcript has 3 exons.
GCUCGAUCGCCCUCUCACAAGUACAUGUUGUUUCAGAUUCUUCAUCAUUCCCACCUUAUGGUAGUGUGCUUGCAAACCUCAGCUAGGCCUACAACUGCUACUACAGUAAUUAGCCAAUGACAUCACCACAGCACGCACUGGUGUCCUGCAAUGUCUGCUCCUGUACCUUGGAGAUAAUUCCAGCGAAUUCUUCCUCAGCUGCUCAGAUUCAGACUCUGCAUGUGACUUCACACAGGUGCGUGUUGAUGUUCUUACAAUCAUGACUGAGGAGACGCCACCUUUGAUUAACAGCACUGCAAUCAUCCUUGAAGGCAACAUUGUCACGGAUGAGAUUCCCACAACCUCUUAAGCACUUUGUCUUCUGUUCGGCUUAAUGUGUGCACACCAUCUGGAUUACCCCAAAGGUAUGAAGAACACAUUUGACUUCAUCCAGAAGAUGUUGUUGAACCUCAGACGACAUUAUAUGAUGUUUAGUAUUAGAGUGUAGUGUGCUUCUGCAACAAAUGUUGAAUAUAUCAAAGUUGUUAAAGAGCUGACUUACAUUUUGCUGCUUUGAAGGUGUAUGUACAAGUACAGUUGUAUGUAAUAAUCCAGUUUUAAUUAUCAGGUUUAAUUCAGAUUUUACAUUUUUACAGACUAAAUGUUGCCAAGUCUGUUUGUUGCUGUGAGACAUUCAGAAAAGUGUCCAUUGUGAAUCCUGGGCCUUGUGUUAG